Small nuclear RNA from Homarus americanus (American lobster), 142 nucleotides. RefSeq annotates it as U4 spliceosomal RNA. Lineage: Eukaryota; Metazoa; Arthropoda; Malacostraca; Decapoda; Nephropidae. The transcript has a single exon. The record is from RefSeq and is a predicted model, not a curated record.
AGCUUUGCGCAGUGGCAGUAUCGUAACCAAUGAGGUUUAUCCGAGGUGCGAUUAUUGCUAGUUGAAAACUUUUCCCAAUACCCCGCUUAGGUCGACGUGAAAUACCGUCGGCUACGGCAAUUUUUGUUAGUCCCUUCAAGGA